GCCCACGUAGCUCAGGAGGCAGAGCGUCGCCUUGGUAAGGCGGAGGUCACCGGUUCAAGCCCGGUCGUGGGCUCCA
This 76-nucleotide transfer RNA is filed under the name Tepidanaerobacter syntrophicus. RNAcentral describes it as "tRNA-Thr". It matches the Rfam family "tRNA". From Rfam's summary of the family: Transfer RNA (tRNA) molecules are approximately 80 nucleotides in length. The record is from RNAcentral. Lineage: Bacteria; Bacillati; Bacillota; Clostridia; Thermosediminibacterales; Tepidanaerobacteraceae.